This is a long non-coding RNA of Dreissena polymorpha, 2255 nucleotides long. RefSeq lists it as uncharacterized. Lineage: Eukaryota; Metazoa; Mollusca; Bivalvia; Myida; Dreissenidae. The transcript has 10 exons. The record is from RefSeq and is a predicted model, not a curated record.
UUUUAGCGAAACAAAGUAAACAUUCACGCAUUUUAAUUAAGUAAAAAUGAUUACAGUUUUGCAGGAAGGACUUUCCAAAAACUUUGCCAGCGUACAUGUUUCAAUUGUAGAGUGUCCUGACCUAACAUCAGCGCCAUUCAACCUGUCAGCACCAGGUCUGUGUGGCAAUGCUCGACUUGUAGACAUCGGCGGUCCACCCUAUCUCUUCCCAUAUGCCCAACGAGACUAGAUACUGGUGAUUUAGUUUUGCUGUUAGCUGUGCAAGUUUGUCCCAGACUCCAACAGGCAGAGACGUUGGAAGUCAUGUUUUCACACCUGAAGGCUUAAAGGGGCCUUUCACAGAUUUUGGUUGGAGACUACAUGAGACUUUGACAGAUGGCGGGAAACCCUCAUCCACUGGUACAAAGCCGGUAGAGGAAUGUUUGCGACUAAACCGAGGGCCAUUGGAUAAGGGUUGUCGAUGGCAAAACAGUCUCUCAGAGUGUUUGCCACCUGACUGCUUGUGUCUGUAGUCAUAGAUCGAAUCUUCAAGCUAAACAACACUAUCCAGAUCCGCAUCCUUUGGUAGCAGCUUGUGGUGGUUCACAUGGACGAGCAGUUGAGUUCAUCAAGGAGCACGGCUGUAGUCAUCGAAGAAUGCUAGACUCUUCUUUGGUUGUCCUUGGCAGUAGAAAGCCAGGUUGUCCACUGGGAUACAACACUGAACAAUUGAUGCAGAGGAACAACCCCAUACAGUUAGAUGGCAUCCUGAGAACUCCAUAGUGUGUGUGCAGAGAUCACUGCAGUGUAUCAGGCAAGCUUUUAAUGAUGACAAAAAUCAGCACAUACAAAAGGAUUGAUCCUGCUGGGGAACUUCUAGAGGGGUAUUUAGCAUCAGAGACCUCAUCCUGUACCUUGACUGGGCACUUCAGCCCUUCCAAAGUAGCCCUAUGUUAGUGGAAGCAGUGCCCAGAGAUGACUUAAUUAUGAAGUUUUUUUCAAAUGGAAGGCAGCUUGCAUGUAAAAUAAUAUUGCUUAAGAAUUGUGUAAUGGCAUCUGACCUUCACCUACACCAUGGGGUAGUGUCCCUUGCACUACACCUGAUUGAGAUAAAUACAUGUUAGCCUGGACAUGGGUCAAAAUAUGAUGUAUGAGGGACAGUCAACGCCAGAAGUGAAAAUUUUUCCUGGUUGAAAUUGCUGUUUUUAGUUCAGACAAAGUAAAGUAACAUUCAAUGUGCUGUUGUUAUUCAAAGGCUUAUUGAAAUUGUCCUUAUGCUGGCAUUUAAGCUGUAUGAAAUAUUUAAGUUUUUGACGACAAGUAAUAAGUAGGAAUCACUUUUGACUGUUUCAUAAUGUUUUAGUUAAAAUACUGAAUCUUGUAUCUAGGGUUAAUUGCAGUUUUGGUUUUAUAUUUAAGAAGUAGUGAAGGAUAAUAAUAUUUUCCUUUCAUUCUUUGAUUUUUUUUUGGCAAAAGACCUUACAGAUGUCGUUGUUUAUAAACUUAAGUGCUUUUCAUAAUGAUUGCUAUGUUGUUUUUUUAAUUGCCCUCUUUGUUAUGUUUUGAAACCUGUACAAUUAAAGAUUUUCUUGGGAGGGAUUUUUCUAAAAUUGUUUGAAUGCUUUUUUCUUAUUGUGUUCCGCCUUGUCUUUCCGCGAUUGAAAACUUUAAUGUUAAGUAUUUCAGUUGUUAGAGGAGACCGGUAUAUUAUGUCAAACAAGAAAAAUAGUUUUUAAGUUAGCUGUGUACAAUAUUCUUAUAUGCCAUCUGAGAGAAAAUCAACCUACGAUACUUUUUCAACUCUGUAAACGUGAACCAGUCAGCUUUUGUUGGAAUCAAAUUUUUUAUGAAAUUUGUUUUUAUUGCUGGAAGAGUUUUCUCCCUUGUUAUUAUUAAGGAUUUUAAAGACAUGACUAUUUUGGUGAAGCGGUCUGAUGUAAACUUAUGAUAAACAAUGUACCAUUCUAGAGUUAUAUCAAUUGUUUAUAGUACAUAUGUUGAUGUCAAUACUUUGGAUCCCAUCCUAGUUUUGGGUCAUCAUUUAAAAUAAUAAGUUCAUGUACACAAAUCAUUCCACUUCAUGUUUAUGGCUGCAGUCUGUUCUUGUUUACCAUUCCCUAUGCAACCGUAUCAUCCAACCACACAUUGAUUUACUGUCAACUCGGAAUAUUUCAAAUCAUCUUACCAGGUGAAGAAGAUAUGAAUGUUUCAUAUAACACCAAGACUGUGUGUUUCAACGCAGUUGUUGACCAAUCUCCAGUCACCUUUAUCAACUA